This 200-nucleotide ribosomal RNA is filed under the name uncultured organism. RNAcentral describes it as "partial small subunit ribosomal RNA". It matches the Rfam family "Bacterial small subunit ribosomal RNA", at positions 1184 to 1382 of the family's 1533-position model. The record is from RNAcentral.
GUCAAAUCAUCAUGCCCCUUAUGACCUGGGCUACACACGUACUACAAUGGCCAGUACAACGGGAAGCGAAGCCGCGAGGUGGAGCCAAUCCUAUCAAAGCUGGUCUCAGUUCGGAUUGCAGGCUGCAACUCGCCUGCAUGAAGUCGGAAUUGCUAGUAAUCGCGGAUCAGCAUGCCGCGGUGAAUACGUUCCCGGGUCUU